GGAAGCGUGGCAGAGUGGUUGAAUGCACCGGUCUUGAAAACCGGCAGGGGUUUGCGCCCCUCGUGAGUUCGAAUCUCACCGCUUCCGCCA
This 90-nucleotide transfer RNA is filed under the name Thauera sedimentorum. RNAcentral's name for it is "tRNA-Ser". It matches the Rfam family "tRNA". From Rfam's summary of the family: Transfer RNA (tRNA) molecules are approximately 80 nucleotides in length. The record is from RNAcentral. Lineage: Bacteria; Pseudomonadati; Pseudomonadota; Betaproteobacteria; Rhodocyclales; Zoogloeaceae.